RNAcentral lists this long non-coding RNA (271 nucleotides) under Lathyrus oleraceus (garden pea). RNAcentral describes it as "Pisum sativum (pea) long non-coding RNA (PSAT_LNC036893)". Lineage: Eukaryota; Viridiplantae; Streptophyta; Magnoliopsida; Fabales; Fabaceae. The record is from RNAcentral.
UUAAAUUAGGAUACCGCCACUCAAAAUGUAGCAACCACAGCUUAAUAAUUUUGAAUUUGUCGCCACCUUCCUUCCGACGUAACCUCCUCCGUACCAGAAACGGGCCACAAUUUUUAUCACAAGUAACCACUUUUUCGCCUUCGAUGUACUUUCUUUGCUUUGUGAUGUUGUGAGUUUAAUAUUGUAUUGAAUGUUAAGCUUUUCAUGGCAUUUUGUUCUUCCUAAAAGAAUAGUUUUUAGAGGUUAAGCUUGGGUUUUAAAUUUGAAAAAU